This 480-nucleotide ribosomal RNA is filed under the name uncultured marine bacterium. RNAcentral's name for it is "bacterial SSU rRNA". It matches the Rfam family "Bacterial small subunit ribosomal RNA", at positions 439 to 918 of the family's 1533-position model. The record is from RNAcentral.
UAUAGGUGAAUAGACCCUCGUGCAUGAAAGAAGCUGAAGGUACUAUAAGAAUAAGGACCGGCUAACUCCGUGCCAGCACCCGCGGUAAUACGGAGGGUCCAAGCGUUAUCCGUAUUUAUUGGGUUUAAGGGGUCCGCAGGCGGGAGAAUAACUCAGUGGUGAAAUCCUGUCGCUUAACGAUAGAACUGCCAUUGAUACUGUUUUUCUUGAGUAUCUGUGAUUUGGGCGGAAUGUGUCAUGUAGCGGUGAAAUGCAUAGAUAUGACACAUAACACCGAUUGCGAAGGCAGCUCAAUAAACUAUACCUGACGCUCAUGGACGAAAGCGUGGCGAGCAAACAGGAUUAGAUACCCUGGUAGUCCACGCUGUAAACGAUGAUUACCCGGUGUUAACGAUUUACGGUUAGUGCCUAAGCGAAGGUGAUGACUAAUCCAACUGGGGAGUACGGUCGCAAGAUUGAAACUCAAACGAAUUGACGGCU